Molecule: ribosomal RNA, 251 nt
Filed under: uncultured bacterium
Lineage: Bacteria
Description: partial 16S ribosomal RNA
Rfam family: Bacterial small subunit ribosomal RNA
Source: RNAcentral
UACGUAGGUGGCAAGCGUUGUCCGGAAUUAUUGGGCGUAAAGCGCGCGCGAGCGCUCUUAAGUCUGAUGUGAAAGCCCCCGGCUCAACCGGGGAGGGCCAUUGGAAACUGGGAGGCUUGAGUAUAGGAGAGAAGAGUGGAAUUCCACGUGUAGCGGUGAAAUGCGUAGAGAUGUGGAGGAACACCAGUGGCGAAAGCGGCUUCCUGGUCCGACACCGACGUUCAGGCACGAAAGCGUGGGGAGCAAACAGG